RNAcentral lists this long non-coding RNA (809 nucleotides) under Musa acuminata (dwarf banana). RNAcentral describes it as "long non-coding RNA (MACU_LNC006175)". Lineage: Eukaryota; Viridiplantae; Streptophyta; Magnoliopsida; Zingiberales; Musaceae. The record is from RNAcentral.
GCGAAAUGGCUCGCCGGUUAUUGCAAGGUAAGUCACACAGACUUUUUUCAGUACACCGAUUUAACAGUUCGAUGAAAGAUGAUGCAAUCUCUGGUGAUCCAAAGAUUGGUAGCGGUCAUUCCAUCUCCCUGCAAUUGGCAGAAACUAUGUCAGGUUUGAUCUGUAUGAUCAAAGCUAAAAAAAACAUUAGCAAGAGAAUCUCAAGUAUAUUACUCAGAACAUAAUCUACACACUAAAUAACAUGACUCAGCCUUCAAUCAUCAUCAUCAUCUGACCACCUUCUUGCAGAGUUCUCACAUGCACAUUCAAUUGCUCAAGCAUCACUCAUGUCAUUUGGCGUGAUUGCAAUUCUUAUCGUCGUUUUAGUUCUGUUGGCGCUUUGCUGGAAAUCCAGAAAACCAAAGCCUACAUGGAAGACUCCCAAUUCUACCAAAAGCCCUGCAGGUAACAAUUCACUGUAUGAACAAAACAAGAAUCAUAUCUUAAGCCUUCUCGUGUCUGUAUUUCCAGAUAAUUUCAGCGGUAAUCUUCGAACCAUUUCUUAUUUUGACUAUCGAACUCUGAAGAAAGCAACGAGAGAUUUCCACCCAAAGAACCAGCUUGGAGGAGGAGGAUUUGGCCCAGUCUAUAAGGUGAUGAUUAGUAGAGGAGAAUGCUUACUUGAUUUCAACUAUAACAGCUGCAAAUGAUCUUCUAACAGGGAACAUUAGAUGAUGGAAGAAUAAUUGCAGUGAAGCAGCUCUCGGUUGGCAAAUCUCAGCAAGGGGAAAGAGAGUUUCUUGCUGAGGUAAGGAUGUUAACCAGCAUCC